This is a long non-coding RNA of Numida meleagris (helmeted guineafowl), 5065 nucleotides long. RefSeq lists it as uncharacterized. The record is from RefSeq and is a predicted model, not a curated record. NCBI's taxonomy places the organism in Eukaryota, Metazoa, Chordata, Aves, Galliformes, Numididae. The transcript is spliced from 4 exons.
UGUAAAAAAUAAUCUCUUCUAGGCAGAGCCUAUCUGAAGCUUAUGGCUUAUUAAGCAUCAUGCAUAUGACCAGCACUUAAAAAUACCAUAAAUAAAUCCAGGGAGAGGGCACGCAUAAAUCCUCAAUGCUAUCUAUUCUCCAGGCACUAGCAAGGGCACAGUAAAAUUGUGGGGGAGCUGCAGGUGCACUGCAACGUGGGUAAUUCCUGAAAGCCUUGUGCCUGUCAGCUCCCAAGGGCAGACGGAACAUCUCAGUGCCAUGGAAAGGAUUUCUCCAAUGACAAGUUGUUUGUGUGUCUCCUUUGUGGGGGUACAGCAUAAACUCCCUCUAUUUAGUUUGGUAGCUGAUGGGAGAGAGAGAGCGUAGCUUUAGCUGCCCUCCCUUCUGCUCCAUUUUCCUUUGAAAAGUGUUCUGCUGCUGGCAUUAUUAACUCUGAAAUUCCCCAUACAGCUGUGGGCUGCGAGGACUGGAUCUCCUAUGCGACCAUGGAAGAGGCACAAAGGUUUCCUUGUGACCACUCACUCUUUUUGUGUCCCCACAAAAGCCCGCUCACAAUGUAGUAUGCUGUUAAUAGCUAAAGCACAAGAUGUGGUAAUGUAAAUGAAGCCUGAGCAGCUGAAGCGAAGGUUUCGGGGAGACUGGGGUCUAAAUGAUUGUGUUUUAUCUUCCUUAUUGAGUCACUGCCGCAUGACUGUUUUGGCUUAAUCCCUUCAUAGCACUUUACGCAGAGGCAGUCCGUUCAGAUGUUUAAACACAUAUUCAUUAUAUGCUGUAUGUACUCAGAUGUCCUUCCAUGUGAAUAUGGCUUUGUUAGUACUGUGUCCUCAAGUAUAUAUUUCACCUGCCUGUGUGAUUACUGAGGAAUUUUGACAAAGUUUUGGCUUUGUUGCAAGACUGUACCUCCCAUUCCCUGAACUAACAUUAUGUUCUUCUUGUUAACAUGUACAAGAAUGCACUUGCUUUUUGUUUACUAAGGGGUUAUUAAGAAUUUGCAAAAUAUCAGCAUGGAAGGAAGGGAACUGAGCAUCGUAGAGGCUAUGUGUGCAGUAGAGAUCCAAAGAGCUUUGGGUUUUUCAAAGAAAGGAGUGUCGGGGGCCCCUGAGAAGUGUACGCAUGCCAUGAAUGUCCCUUCUGUUUGUCAGCUCUGCAGCAGUGUCAAAGAAGCUCCUAUCUGUGACAGGCAGACCUGACAGACAGCAUUGUUCAUUCGGUUUUUAUUCAAUACAAGGGUCACAGAUCCCAGUGUCAGGAUAAAGUACGACUAAGUAAGUGGUCUGAUUGAUCCUUCUAGGACAUGGCAGUCUGGGGUGUGGGUACUAGAUGUAAUUCAAAUUUUGCAGGCAUGGGAUAAUGACUCUGAGAUGAAGGUGAAAGAUAGGAAUACUUUAUUAGGGUGGAGGCAAGCCGCAGUGAGGAUUUAAAUCUAUUUCUAAAUAUAAAAUAUUUGGCCUGCAUACAGUUCCUAAUUUUUGUUUUUUUUUUCUAUGACAUCUUGCCAAGGUAAGGGAACAGAAGUUAUGUAGUAGAACAGUAAUCUGUGAAAAAGGAAGGUAAGAAGAAAUCUGAUCUUCCUGGCACUGUGCAAAAAUCCUGAUAAAGUCAUCAUUGGCCACUGCAGAACUGUGCUGUUUAAGAACAACUGACAACCUCAUCACACUGUUUCUGAACUGAGUUCUCUAGUACCAAGAUUGUCUUGCCCUUCUUCCACCCAAAGACCCUUGACAAUCAGGCUAGAGCAGUUAGACACAAAACUUUUAAGAAAGUCAACCAACACAAAUGUUCUUCAUUAGAAAUUCAUAAUGAAUGGUUUUGAAUUGCCUCAUUGUCACAGAGCAGCUCACAGUUGCAUAUUUUAGUUUUCAUCUCAGUGCCAGCAGAACUUAUGUUUCCUUAGAGAAGGGUAUAUUUUGAAGCAAGCAUUCCAAAUGCUGAUACAUUACGCUACUAAUGAUAAAGUUACUGUAAAGUUAUUGCCUAGACAGAGUGGCUGAGAUUUGAAGGCACCUCUGGAAACUGUUGCCCAAGCUCCUCCUCAAGGAAUGGUCAGGAGGAGAAGGUUGCUCAGGCCCUGUCCAUUUGGGUUUUGAGUAACUCCAGGAAUCGGGACUCCGUGAUUGAUUUGGGCAGCCUAUGCCAGUGUUUGAGGACCCUCAGCUUAAGAAAGAUUUUCCUUGUGUUUAGGUGGAAUUUCUUGUAUUUGAAUUUGUUCCACUUGCCUUUUGUCCUGUCACUGGGCACCACUGAGAAGAGUGUGGCUCUGACUACUUUAGGCAUGCUCUUCAGGUCUUUACGGACAUUGAUGAGAUCCCUCUGAUCUUUCUCCAGGCUGAACAGCCCCAUCAGAGUAAAGCAGGCAGACUGGGAACUCAGUGCAUCUGAAAUCAGUUCUGGAACUGACAUCUUUGAGAAAAUUGGAGUGAAAUUCUGUGCUGUGUCUCUAGAGUAGAAGCACAAAGACCAUGACCUUAGGUUAAAGUAACUUCAAGAUACUUUUGUGCUCCUUUAACCUUGGAUUGCCCUGGGGUCUGGUGAAAGCUCUAGCGUAAUCUAUUCAGCUAAAAUUGUGGCUCCUCUGCAGUGUCCUAAGGGGAUGUGAAAUAGGAUUGCAUGAAAUAGAAAUGUCAUGGCUGAAAUAGCCAUAAUGCCGUUCCUCUUGUCCCCACUCCAAACUGUAGCAUGCUUGUUAUACUAGACCUUGAGAAUGAAUGUUAGGAACAAGGCUUUUUGCUUUUUUUAGUGCUUCUGCUAAGGAAAUCUGAUGUGUUGUGAGGGAUUUUUAGGGCCCCUUUAGACCUCUGUAUUGCUUCUUCAUGGAUAACAGUGAAGAUGAGUCUUUUCUGUUUAAUCCCUCUAAGUCUCAGGUAUGAGAUACAUUUCUUUUUACUUUUCCCUAAGUAGUAAGCUUUUUAGAUUUGAUUUGGAUUUUAUUCCAUGUGUUGGCCCUGGCUGAGAGGAGUCUAGAUUUUUCUCUGAGGUUGUCCAACAGUGCUGGAGAGUAAAUAAUUAGGACGAAAUAGAAUGCUUGACUUUGUAUUAGGUCAUUUUACUUUUCAGGAGUGAGAAGUGCAGGAAGACUAGGGGAGGCAGAAAAUGACAUUUUGACUAUGGUGCCUUCUGGUUAUGAGGACAUCAUUCACAAACAUCACCACAAUGCAGUGAUGAAAUCAAGUGACCUUCUUUCACUUCAGCUUGGUCCUCAUCUCCAGUGGGCAGCGUCUAGACUGAAUUUAGUGACUACAUUGAUUAUUUUAUCAAAGGUAGUGGAGUGCACCAGAGGACUGCUUAGUCUACAGCAACAGCAUGCAACGCUGAGCAAAUGAUGUCCAGGAUCAGUGUCUCUCCUUACACCAUCAAGACUGCAGGGACCCUGGGGCCAGCUGGCAUUUGCUAAAGCUACAUGAAACGCAAAUGGAUAUACAGAAGCAUGCUUUCAUUUGUCGUUAUGUCAAGUGGAGAUGUAACACUAGAAACAGAAGGAUGUUUGUUGAUGUGAGGACCACCAGGAACUGACUGCUGGAAUUUUGCUCAAAGGAAGCAAGCCAGAUGAGAAGAGAAAAGAAAUCCCCAGCUUUCAAGUGCCACAUCAUCACAGGUGAGUCUGAAGAAUAAGAAGCGGCAUCUUCUUUUAAUCAAUUUUAAGAUGAAAUUAUGAAAAAGUUAUGUAGUGUGACUCCCUACACUGAGUUCAUAUCAGGUUCUAUGAGGUCAAGAUUGCUGGGCUCCACUACAGUCUCCCUUCUGUGCUCACAAGUGUAGGAGAUUUAAAGUGCCAACAAGAUCAAGAUCAACAAGGAGAGCGAGCUAUGGAACUACUGGUGAAAUUUUUCUCAUUUUGCACUGCAGAUAAUAAAUCCAUGAGUGUUGUGGAUGACUGGAAUAAUCCUCUGCAUGGAAGUCUCCUAACAACAACAACAAAAAAUUAACUUGUUAUAGUUGCCUUGGUUUAGAGCAGAGAUGAAUUCAGGACUGUAGAUUUUAUGCUAAUGAUCUUUGUACUCCAGUCAAUACAGAAGGAACAGAUUGGAUUAUCAUCAGAAAAGCUCAAGUGGUUUGAUUUACCUGAAGUGAGAUUCAUUGUUAGUUCAGAAUUAGACUGAUGUGAAAAAGAGGGUUGAUUGGACAAAACCUCUUUUCAAAUUCUAUGGCUUCAAAAUCCAGUUUAACUGAUUUUUCCAGAAAUGUGUCAAAAUAAAUUUAAAGAAAAUACUUAUAACUACUAAAAUAACUAUUACUAUUUCAUGUGGUUAUGAAGCAGUCAUAGUGAUAUGCCUUUAAAAUUUUUCUUAGUGCUUUGAGCAUCCAUCUAGAUGUUGUGAAGUAUUUGCUUAUGUAAUAUCAAAACACUUGUUAAAUUUUCAGCCCUUCCUCCCCUUGACUGCUUUUCAUUAUUUAGAAGAACACUACACGUAAUAUUUAAAGUGUUUUGGAAACAUACGGGAUGAAAUGACUUAACAUGACUUGAUUUUUGGUGACAGCUGCCUUCAUGUUUGCUGAUGUGUUCCUGUUCGUGGUAGUUGGAAUUUUUUUGAAGCUGAUCAUUGUUUUUCAAAAUGUUCACCUUUGGAGGAAGCAAUUUCAGAACUAGGCUUUUGUUGAUAUUUGAGCAUGAAUCAUCUUUGGAAUAUCUGUGGAGAGUAUUGGCUUCUCUAUUUUUAAGUUAAGGUGGAAUGAAAUAGCUAAGAACAUUUAAUUCAUUGUAAAAUGAAAACCUUUAUAUUAUUCAUGAUAGUGAUAGCCAGUGAAACAGGCAGAUCUGUGAUAGUUACAGAUAGUUAUAAGUUUCUUUUUACAUUCUUCCAUGCUGAAAUCAUAAAUUAACUUUUAAGAUAUUUUUCUUGCAGAAUGUAUUGUGCUUUGUAGAUCUUAAGAAAUAGUAUCUGCUAACAUAAAAGAUGAUUUUCUUAGUGAUUCAAUAAAAUGUUGCACAGAGACACAUACUUGGGAUAUUUCAAAAGGCUGUUCUAUACCUAAUACAGCUUGAUGAAUACAGUUGUAAUGAAUGAUAAAUGAUGCAUGCAGAUUUGAGGUUUGUUUCCAGUUUUGUAUGAACUGUAAAUAAAUAUG